CAUAGAGGCGGAUCCAGGAUUUGGAGGUUCCGGGUGCCACACCAUCCAAAUAGGAUAAACGGGUCGGUUUGUUCGAUUUUGGGUUACGGUUCAGAUACAAAGUUGAGAAAGAAUCAAGAAUUGUAGCUUUAA
Long non-coding RNA from Lycium ferocissimum, 132 nucleotides. RefSeq lists it as uncharacterized. The transcript has 2 exons. Lineage: Eukaryota; Viridiplantae; Streptophyta; Magnoliopsida; Solanales; Solanaceae. The record is from RefSeq and is a predicted model, not a curated record.